This 85-nucleotide transfer RNA is filed under the name Methylophaga sp. RNAcentral's name for it is "tRNA-Leu". It matches the Rfam family "tRNA". Rfam says of the family: Transfer RNA (tRNA) molecules are approximately 80 nucleotides in length. Their secondary structure includes four short double-helical elements and three loops (D, anti-codon, and T loops). Lineage: Bacteria; Pseudomonadati; Pseudomonadota; Gammaproteobacteria; Thiotrichales; Piscirickettsiaceae. The record is from RNAcentral. RNAcentral also lists the same sequence under 1 other name.
GCCGGGGUGGCGGAACUGGUAGACGCGCCGGAUUCAAAAUCCGGUUACGAAAGUAGUGUCGGUUCGAUUCCGACCCUCGGUACCA